CAGCCUCUCUCUCCUCUCUCCAGCUGCGUCAGUCUUCUCCUGCGCAUCGUCGCCGAUUCCGGCCACCACUCACUGCCACACCGGUCUCAACAUGACCGUCUCAUUCUCUUCUAUCUAACCCGGUCCAUAGCACUCGACUCUAGCCCGAUUCAAAGCCAAACCGAGGGAGAGAAGCCUCGACUGUUUUCCGGCGAAUCCUCGAGAUUCCGGCCACGGCGUGACGAGUGGGAGGUAGGGUUAUCUUCCUCUCUUCCUGCUUCACCUUCUGGUACCUUUCUUUUCCCCAAAUCGUGCCCUAAUUGAAAACCCCUUUUUCUGUGUUUUCCGGGUUUCAAGCUCCUAGUUCCGGCGGCCGGCGCUCGGUGGUUUCUGGCGAGUUCUUCAGCUUUUUAGUAGGUCCUAUGAGCUUAGUGUGAAGUUGAGAUGGACAUUGGUGGCGUUGCUUAUCGAUCGGGACCGAGGCAGUGGUCUAGUGCGCUUGACCGGAGAUGAUCCGAGGUGAUUGGUGUUGUUGCAGUGAAGAAUGAGGCAGUGGUUGUGGAUGUUUGGGGGUCCUGCAUGUUGAGUCCGGACCAGGAGAGUUCUUGGGAUAACAUUUGAGAUCGAUGGAAGGUAAUCUUGAUCUCCUUUGAUGUUAUAUAGUUGUUGUGUGGAUAUUCAGACUGAUUGGAUGCAUUUUUGGUGUUGCUUAUCGAGAACUUGGUGUAUUGAAGAAUUUAGGGAGGUCAUGGUGAAAUUCCGGCAAGAGGCCGGAAUCCUACAGAAUAUUUCGGCAAGUCGCCGGAGUCUGGCAAGGGGUGGAGCUGGCAGAAAUGAUGGAGAUAGUGAUCGAUGUUUCCUUUUCGUUGUAUGUCGUUUCAGUAAUAGGAAAGUUUGUAGGUUGUAAUCGGAAAUCUUUCUAAGUGAGGAAAGUUUCUAUUUUAGGAAACUUUCCAUUUUUAGAAACUUUCUAUUUAUGAGAAACCCUUUUUGGGUGCCCUUAGUAAAUUGGUUGAUGUUUUAAAGGCUUGGAAAUUGUUUGUGACUUCGAUUAUCGGUUAAGGUUUGGUUUGGAACGGAAGGAGUUAUAGUUGCAAAGUUAAUCGAAAAUGAUUAUUAAUAUUUGUUGGUCAAACGUGGGGUCAAGCCUGGUCAAUUCUUGAUCAACCUAGGAAAUCCUAGUCAAACUGGGAAGAAGUCGAUUCAAUAAUGAUUGUGGAGUCCGGUCUGACCAAUUUAUUUUUCUGUUUAUUAUCAG
RNAcentral lists this long non-coding RNA (1237 nucleotides) under Fragaria vesca (wild strawberry). RNAcentral describes it as "long non-coding RNA (FVES_LNC002760)". The record is from RNAcentral. Lineage: Eukaryota; Viridiplantae; Streptophyta; Magnoliopsida; Rosales; Rosaceae.